GAUGAAGAACGUAGCGAAAUGCGAUAAGUAAUGUGAAUUGCAGAAUUCAGUGAAUCAUCGAAUCUUUGAACGCACAUUGCGCCCGCUAGUAUUCUGGCGGGCAUGCCUGUUCGAGCGUCAUUUCAACCAUCAAGCCCCAGGCUUGUGUUGGGGGCCUGCGGCUGCCGCAGCCCCUGAAAAGCAGUGGCGGGCUCGCUGUCAUUCCGAGCGCAGUAGUUACAUCUCGCUCCGGGCGUGGCGGUGGGCACCUGCCGUGAAACACUCCUUCUAAGGUUGACCUCGGAUCAGGUAGGAAUACCCGCUGAACUUAAGCAUAUCAAUAAGCGGAGGA
This 331-nucleotide unclassified non-coding RNA is filed under the name soil metagenome. RNAcentral describes it as "partial contains 5.8S ribosomal RNA, internal transcribed spacer 2, and large subunit ribosomal RNA". The stretch from base 1 to 120 matches the Rfam family "5.8S ribosomal RNA", at positions 35 to 154 of the family's 154-position model. The record is from RNAcentral.